GAUGAACGCUAGCUACAGGCUUAACACAUGCAAGUCGAGGGGCAGCAUGGUCUUAGCUCGCUAAGGCCGAUGGCGACCGGCGCACGGGUGAGUAACACGUAUCCAACCUGCCGUCUACUCUUGGACAGCCUUCUGAAAGGAAGAUUAAUACAAGAUGGCAUCAUGAGUCCGCAUGUCACACUAGUAGUUAAAGGUUAAAGGUUACCGGUUUACCGGUAACGGAACGUAGGGGUAGGGUAGUCGGUUCCCGUUACUUAAGUUAAGUAAGUUAAGGGUACGGGGGUAACCGGGGGUAACCCCGACCCCCUAACGUU
Molecule: ribosomal RNA, 314 nt
Filed under: uncultured bacterium
Lineage: Bacteria
Description: bacterial SSU rRNA
Rfam family: Bacterial small subunit ribosomal RNA
Source: RNAcentral